UCGGGAAUUUUGCGCAAUGGACGAAAGUCUGACGCAGCAACGCCGCGUGAGGGAUGACGGCCUUCGGGUUGUAAACCUCUUUUGUCAGGGACGAUGAUGACGGUACCUGACGAAUAAGCCAUGGCUAACUACGUGCCAGCAGCCGCGGUAAUACGUAGGUGGCAAGCGUUGUCCGGAUUUACUGGGCGUAAAGAGCGCGCAGGCGGUCGAUUUAGUCGCGUGUGAAAGCCCCCGGCUCAACUGGGGAGGGUCACGCGAUACUGAUCGACUCGAAGGCAGGAGAGGGUAGUGGAAUUCCCGGUGUAGUGGUGAAAUGCGUAGAUAUCGGGAGGAACACCAGUGGCGAAGGCGACUACCUGGCCUGUUCUUGACGCUGAGGCGCGAAAGCUAGGGGAGCAAACGGG
This 404-nucleotide ribosomal RNA is filed under the name Bacillota bacterium. RNAcentral describes it as "Firmicutes bacterium partial 16S ribosomal RNA". It matches the Rfam family "Bacterial small subunit ribosomal RNA", at positions 355 to 776 of the family's 1533-position model. The record is from RNAcentral. Lineage: Bacteria; Bacillati; Bacillota.